Molecule: RNA transcript, 3306 nt
Organism: Trichomycterus rosablanca
Lineage: Eukaryota; Metazoa; Chordata; Actinopteri; Siluriformes; Trichomycteridae
Gene name: myosin-3-like
Exons: 20
Source: RefSeq, a predicted model, not a curated record
UGUCAUUUGUUUUAUUUUUGUGUAAAUUGUUUGAUUCCUGCUGUUGUGGUAAUCUUAAGUUUCUUUCUACCACAUGGAGUCCAGUACAGACAUCAACACUCUAAGGUCCAUGACUAAGGGUAUGAACGAUAAACUGAACUCAACAGAAGUUGUGCAUGAAAGUGACAGUGAAGUAAUUUCAGUACAGCUUUUGGAAUUUAAGACGAAUCUGCUCGAGGCAGUUGAGGAACUUCAUAUUUGUAGGGAUGCUGAAAAACGACAUGAGACUCAGAUCUGUAAACUCGUACUGGAGAAACAAGAACUCGAAUGGCAAAUGGAGUCUCUACACAGUCAGAUUAACACGAUGACAAAUGAACAUUCAGAAGCCCUUGCUGCACUUAAAAAGCAGUUUCAGGCAAAUAUCAGAGGGAUUGAAGGAGAAAAGGGGAAGCACCAGCUGAGUGCUGAAUUAAAGGACAAAGAGAUCUCAAGUCUGAAAGAAGAGCUGAAGUCGCUGCAGUUGUUCAAGUACAGUUUGGAGAAGAAAUUAAGUGAGCUGGAGCAGAAGUUGCAGCUUCAGACUCAGGCGAGGGACAGCCAUCUGAAUCAGUUGGGAGAAGUGGAAAAGCGUUUUGGGAUGAUCUCAAGACAAUGUGCUGUGGUCAAACAGGCCCAUGAGAAACUGGAGCAGAACGUGGACGAGGCAAUCCGGCUGAACAAGAAACUUGUGCUCAUCAACAGCAAUCAAGAAUCAACAAUUGCUGCCCUGAAAGAGGAGGUGGAGAAGCUUAACAGCAAGCUAGUAAAAGGCAAAGUUUCAUCUAUCUGCAAAUCCGGAGAAGACAGUUCUUAUUUCCUUUUGAAAGACCAGCAACUACAGGAGCUUAAACAGAGGCUGAUUGUGGAGACAGAUCUAAAUAAGAAGCUCAGAAAUGAAAAUGCUGUUGAAAGGGCAGAGAAGCAGGAGCUGAUGAGUUCUCUCCAGCAUGCCCAGUGGCUGCUACAGACUCAGACGCAGGCUGUGAGCAGAGCCGAACAGCAGCUUCUUAUACACACUGAGGAGUACCAGGUCCUUAAACGGGAACAUGAAAUAGUCCAAGAGAGAAGUAAGGAGAAAGAGGACAGACUUGUGCAGCUGAUAGAAGAACACAAAAACUCUAAUAUCACCUUGAAAAAAGGGGUGCAGAUACUGCAAGCAAAGAUGCGGUCGGAUCACAUGGAGCUGAAGGCUGUCAAAGUGGCAUAUGAUAAUCUUCAUGAAAAACACAGACAACUAUCCUCUAAUAUUGUGCAACAAGCAAGACACAUUCACAUUACAGAGAGUGGAGGCAGUUCUCAAGACAACAGCGAGCAAGCGAGACACCACAAAGAAGAUAAAGACGCUUUAGAUGAAAGGACGGCUGGGUGUCACAAAGCAAUAAUAGGUGGUGGAAACGGUAAGGUUAAUGUUGGUUCACGGAUGGUUCCUGAGCCUCUGCCUUCUCAAAGACUUGCUUCUUUGGCACCAGAUCAGACAGAGACAAGUGACGGCAUCAGUAUGGCUGAAGUGACAAAUCAGGAGAUAGAUCCAACUGUCAAACACGAAACUAGUGUUGGUAAAGGUGCACCAGUCCAAUGCAUAUCAGAUAACGUUUGCUCUUCAAGCACACUGCAGACUUACACAGGCAGCUGCCUUGCCGAGCUAUCGGAAUCUGAAACCAGGUCUGUUUAUGGUGCGACCAGUGAGUUACAGAUGCCUGAACUGAGCGAUAGGCCAGAGGAGAGGAGCUGUGUUUUAAAAAUGCUGGAACAGGAGACAUCAGAUAAACACACAUGCGAGACAGCUCAGGACAGUAACUGGAAGUCUCAAACUGUAGCACCUGAGAUGAACAGGCCUCCGAGUGCCUCACCUAAUGGUGAAAGUAAACUCUGCAAUAAGGAACAAGCCACCUUUGAAGAAAAUAACCCACAAAUAACACUACAAGAUGACACCUAUCAGAUUUCAAUAAAGAAUAAAGACACAAGUGCAGCCAAUUCACAUCCACAGCAACAAAUUGUUUCUGAGCAACAAGACCUUAAUGAGAUAGAUGUUUCUAUGUCAGGUGCUACCUCCUUUUCUGCUACAACUACUAGACGACCAGAACACAAGCUUUCUCAACUUCAAAAUGACUCAAAGUCUGGAAACCCUGAUCAACAUAGCACACUGGAAGAUAUAAACAACAUUGAUGCAAUUGAGGCAAAUCCCUUACCAGAAGCUGAAAAUAACAUUUCCUGUCCUAAUCAAUCAUCUUCUCAAUGCGCAUUUAAUUUACCAGGAGAUUUAACAGGAAAUAAAAAAGAUGAUAAAGAUACUUCUGCUCAAAUGUUAACCGACCAGCAAAAUGCAGACACAUACACAGGUCCUCAGAUCUUAAACCCACAGGAAGACCUGGGACCUUCAUCCACUGAUACUCCCGCAAAACAACCUGAACAGCCAAAUGAAACAGAACCAUCUUGUUGUGAUGACAGCAAGAAAUAUAGAUCUUCUUCUGAGUUAACUGCAUCUCCAAAGGAAACAGUGGAUACACAGUCAGGGUACGAAAAAAGUGUCCCAAAUGUUAAACAAAUAGAGAGGUUAGACGACUUCCCAGCACUGACAAGGUCCCCCACUUUAGAGAAAAAUUCACUGCUGCCCUCCGACUUCCAGGAGCUUCUCACCUCACUGCAUAUUCCAGUAUUUCCAAGACCCAGACCACAAAACAGAGGUUCUACUGUAAUUGCGCAGCCGCUUGACAAGCUUAGUGUUUGUAGUAUCCACCCUAAAAGAAAGAGUGAUCACCAAGGAGAAUGGAAAGCAAUCAAGCAGACCUUUUCUGACACCUUGUCUGACGAACAAUAGACAUCUACAGAAUGCCUUCCUACUCCUGGGAAAAUCUAGGGGAACCUAUGGUUCGUUUAAAGAGCAGGAAAAGUGAGCUGUGUGUCUCUACAAAUGUUUAGGAACUUCAGCAGCAAACGGAAGAUGGGCGCACUCAAUUUUGUCUUCCGCUGCUGAGGGAUACCAGAUUGCAUCAGAGGAGAGCACGUCACUGUACACGCCUCUUUCGACACAUGCACAGCCCUCCUCUUCUCGCCCCUGCAUUCUGCACAGGCGUCUCUUCUGCCAAUCAGGGUCCUUACACAGACCCACCCACACACACAUAGUCUGGCCCCCAACCUGCAGAUACGGAGGCACUGCCAGUUAUGCCCGCUAGAUGGUGCCCAGCCGACCAGUGGCAACACCGAGUUUCGAACUGAGGAGUUCAGAAACUCGGUGCUGGUGUGCAAGCGGAAUAUGCUUUUUAUAAUUAAAGUACUGUAAUGUACAUU